UACGGAGGAUCCAAGCGUUAUCCGGAUUUAUUGGGUUUAAAGGGUGCGUAGGCGGCUUAUUAAGUCAGGGGUGAAAGACGGUGGCUCAACCAUCGCAGUGCCCUUGAUACUGAUGAGCUUGAAUACACUUGAGGUAGGCGGAAUGUGACAAGUAGCGGUGAAAUGCAUAGAUAUGUCACAGAACACCAAUUGCGAAGGCAGUUUACUAAGGUGCAAUUGACGCUGAGGCACGAAAGCGUGGGGAUCAAACAGG
Molecule: ribosomal RNA, 253 nt
Filed under: uncultured bacterium
Lineage: Bacteria
Description: partial 16S ribosomal RNA
Rfam family: Bacterial small subunit ribosomal RNA
Source: RNAcentral